CUUUUGCAGAAUUGCUGAUAGUACUCCUGAUCUCAGUUGAAAUCUGAAAAAAAAAAAAAUUAAAAAAUAGCUGGCAAGUCUAAUACUCUGCAGAGGCCCUAUUUUCUCCUGCAGGUGAUAGCUCAUGUGCAACGUCUUGAUAACUGUAAAAAUGAUGCACUGCCUUGGGGAGCAGAAAGGAAAAUAAAAGUAACUGACUGAUGAGGAGGCACAGCAGAAGACCUGGCAGAUCCUGGCUGAGCAUCUUUGGUGGACCCCUGAACCCUCUAUUAUACAACAAUUCCUGCUACAGCUCAAGCAGGUGAUGGCCCUGGAGACUCCCUGGCUGACACCUCUCUAAGCCACCUGGGACCCAGAGAGUUUUGUGACUUCCUCGGUGUUGUGAGGAGCAGGAGGCCCAGAGUUUGCCCACUGUAACCAUGUGUUGGAGAAACUUGGGUGUAAAGUGGUGGAAGCAUACCUGGGUCUGUUGGGGGAACUGGA
RNAcentral lists this long non-coding RNA (483 nucleotides) under Cyanistes caeruleus (blue tit). Its description in RNAcentral is "lncRNA (ENSCCEG00000018590.1)". The record is from RNAcentral. Lineage: Eukaryota; Metazoa; Chordata; Aves; Passeriformes; Paridae.